Molecule: long non-coding RNA, 8518 nt
Organism: Limulus polyphemus (Atlantic horseshoe crab)
Lineage: Eukaryota; Metazoa; Arthropoda; Merostomata; Xiphosura; Limulidae
Exons: 2
Source: RefSeq, a predicted model, not a curated record
AUUACUUAAGAUGUUCUUGUUUAAUUUUAGUGGAUAAAGUUGUUAAAUCAAAUGGUUUCUUGCAUUUAAAAUUAUAUUCUGAGCAGAUAUUUUUUAAUGGUAGAAAUAACUUCUAUACUGUUAUGUAUAAUCUACCCGGUAUGUGUUUUCAUUAGAGUUUAUAUUUUCUUUUUAUAGUUCACCAAGUUGUUGAAUAUAAUAGAGGCUGGUUUAACAGCCAGUUGUUUUGAACUCGUAAUAAAUUGAAAAUUGCAGGAUGUAAAAUUUUGGUAUAAUGUACAUGAUUGGAAGCUGAUGAUUAUCAGGCAGUGCGGUAGCAAUGAGUCCGGUUUUCGUUUUUCUUUCUUCCUUUCCAUCAGCUGUAACUUGUAAUCCACAGUGUGCCUACUUCCAGCCUGCACACCAAAACACUUCACUACUCCCUGGGAUGUGCCUUUUCUAGGUUAGUUACAGCCCAAAAUAUAUGCAAUGACACAGAUUGUUUAAUAUUGCGCUAUACACAUAUCAAUCAAUAGAUAGCGCCACCUGGGAUGCUAACUGUAAAAAAAAAAAAAAGUCCAGAAACUAGCAAUAAAAAAUUUUCAUUAUAAAAUUGUUGGGCAUAGGGAUGGAAAAAGAUCAGAAACUGGAGAGCAUUUGGGAUGGGAGGAAAAUCUGCAUUACCAAUUCCUGUAUUCCACCACCUAACUUAUAUAUGUAUCCACCCUUUGAGUGGUUGAAUGUAGGAAUGGGUAAUGCAGAUUUUCUUCCCAUUCCAAAUGCUCUCCAGCUUCUGAUUUUUUUUCCAUCCCAACACCCAACAAUUUUAGAUUAAAAUUUUUUAUUGCAAGUUGGAUAGUAGAUUAAUUUUCUUAUUUAGUCAUUAUAAUUCAAUGAAGUAGCUUGAAGAGUUUCUGAGUUAGUAUCAUAUGGGUGUAUACAUUUUUGUAUGAAAACAAUUUUUCUUUUACCUAUUAACCUGUUUAUAUAUUAUUUCGAAACAGUUUCUUUCAUAACCGAUCUAGAUGUAUUUAUAAACUCUUUUCUGCUGUAGUUAUAGGAGCUAUAGGGCAGCCAUCUUCCCAUAACCUACUGCAGUAGGUGACAAAUAGUAAGAAAAAUGGAAGUUUUGAGCUACGGCACCAUUUGUCACCAUAAUGAAUAUAUGAAAGUAAUUCUUCGCCCCUCUUUUUUAAUUUGAGUUGACUGAAAUGACAAGUUUUAAAGUCUAAAGUAUUUUUUCAAUAUGCAUUUUAUACUAGCUAUAUGAAAUGCAUGCUCAAAUCUUUCUGGAAGGUAUGUAAAAGAUGUUUGCUAGUGUUGUAAUUUUUUUUUGUAUAUUAAUUUAUGCAUUCGAAAAACAUUUUAUAUAUGAUGCAUUAUAAUUUGUAAAUACUUGGGAUAUGAUGUAUAGAUAUGUAAAUAUUUAUAUUUUAAAUACAUCAUACAUAAAUGUACUUACACUUUAAUGGAUAGCUAUUUGAGUGUGUGUGUGUAUAAAGAUUUACGUAAAUAAAGAAAAAAGAGCAUUGUUAGUGAAUAAAUAAAGAAAAUACUCUACCAACAUGUGAGGCCUAAAUUGUAUUAUCUGCCUUUAUGACUUGGUUCUUUUUAACUACAAAAGCAUAUGUACAUUGUAUAACUAAUAGUAAUUAUCAUGUACAUUAGAUGACUGAAAGGUUAAGACAUAGUCUAUGAAAAGUAAAGAAUUUCAUAAUUUUGUUAUUUUCAGCUUAUAGAAUGUUCAGAAAUGUUAUAAUUGUGACAUGACAUUUAAUGUGUUAUACCUUUAUGUUUUAUAUUAUUCAGUGAAAGUUAGAUGUUAACACAUCAAAUUUAUGGGACUAGGUUGAUAACAAAUAAGAACAGCUGUACAAGGAUAAGUUUGAUAGUUUAUAGAGAUGUUUAUAUGUAAGUAAAGUACCUUUAAGAUCAAUUGGAAUAUAAAAACUGGAGAAACAUUCCAACAAACUUUAAAAAUUAUCACCUAAAAAAUUUUAGUAAAGAUUUGCAUGCCAAAAAUAGUGACUUGGAAUCAUGUAAUCAAAAUAUAUCUGGUGACAGGAUAUGAAAAUAAUUUCAACAAGAAUAAUGAAAUAGACUAAACUAAAAUUAAUUGAAUAAGUGAAAUUUUAGAUGUCAGAUAAAGUUAUGAAAACAACUAACUGAAACAUAAAUUCCACUAAGAAAAAAUUAAUUAUGUAUCCAGGAGAAUGAGGCAGGAAAAGAAGUACAUGCAUGCUAAAGUGUUGUAUGAUUUAUUACAAAGCCUACAUUUAUUACAGAAUAAAAUUAGGAAUUUAAUUCCUUACCCUCUAAGUUUAUUUCUACAUGUAUCUCUAAUAGUGUAACAAUUUAGAACCUGUUUUGACAUAUGAUGGACUAAAUAGUGAAAGUGCUACCAGCCUACUUAUUCCAACUUUUUCUGUACGCAUCUCUAGAAGUAAUAUGUUAGAACUUGUCUUACUGAAUAUGAAAGUGAGUGUUCCCAGCCUACUUAUUUUGUAUGCAUCUAAAGAAAAGUAAAAUGUUAUAAUUUGUUUACACUGGUGAUGGACUAAAUAGUGAAAGUGCUACCAGCCUACUUAUUCAGACUUUUCAGUAUGUAUCUGUAGAAGCAAUAUGUUAUAAUUUGUUUUGACUGGUGAUGGACUAAAUAGUGAAAGUGCUACCAGUCUACUUAUUCAGACUUUUUCUGUAUGCAUCUAUAGAAGUAAUACGUUAUAAUUUGUUUUCAUUGGUGAUGGACUAAAUAGUGAAAGAAUUACCAGCCUGCUUAUUCUGUCUUUUUCUGCAUGAAUCUAUAGAAGCAACAUGUUAGGUCCUGUUUUACUGAACAUGAAAGUAUUCCCAGCUUACCUAUUUUGACUUUUUCUGUAUGUAUCUGUAGAAGUAAUAUGUUAGAACCUAUUUUGAUUGAACACUGAACGUGUUCCCUGCUUAUUUAUCUAGUAAUUUUUGAAACAAAUUCAUAAAAUAGGGAUGGUUCAAAUUGCUGUAAGUGAAAACUAAUUCUGAGGUCAAUGUUUGAGCCAAAUGGCACUUAUCCUUCACUGGGAUCCUGAUAACAGUUGUUUGGCUAAUACAUUAAUUACGUAAAGCUUUUUUUCUUUGAGUAAAUUUAGUCAUUUCUCUGUAUAUUCAGAUUUGAUUGUAUUAUUGCAGAAUUUGUUUUCUUUUCUUGUUACUUUGUGAAUUGAGUUAGCUGUUUCAUAAGCAAUGAUUGGUAUUAGUUUCUCUUAAGAGAGCUUUGACAUUAUUAAAUAAUUUUAAUCACCCUUUGAAAACUUUUGAUACAAACCUGAGUUGUUCUCACAGAUUCCACUAAAACUAAAAGUGAAGUGGUAUUAAUAUGGUUUCAUUUAAUAUGGUUAGACAGUACUCAAGCAAUUCUAAACAAUGAAAGAUGAUUAAAAUAUCACCAGUAAUAUAUCUUACACAGCUAAGCCUAUGGGGCUAUUGAUACUGAAGUGUAGGUGAACUAAGAAUAACGUACUAGAUCUAAGCAAUGAAAGAUGAUUAAAAUAUCACCAGUAAUAUAGCUUACACAGCUAAGCCUAUGGAUUAACUGUAUGGGGCUAUUGAUACUGAAGUGUAGGUAAACUAAGACUAACGUACUAGAUCUUGUAAUAACUAAUAUGAUACAUGUAUGUCUUAACCAUAUAUAGGUACCCGAAUAAAAAAAUAAUUGGUAAUUUUAUUCAUUUGAUUUUUCUUUUAAACAGUUGAUGUGUAAACUAUCUUCUGUGAUAUGUAGACAUUCAUUUCAUUCAACAGCUUCAGUGAUUUAACUUUGGCUUUUGUAAUUCAUCAGUUGGAUACCUUUUCUAUUAUUAACAUUUUUUGCUAGCAUUUUAACAUAUUAGAUAUUGAUAUUGGAUUAUUAAAAUAAUUAUUUAAGGAUUGUGUUAUAUUCUGAGCCUUUAAAAUAUCACCAGUGACUUUGUUAUGCAUAUAAUUUUGCUUCAUGACUUCAAGUUAAUAUAGUUAUAAUUCUAACCCGUAAGUUCAAUUUAUAUUUGGUUCCCUUUAGGGGUGUAGUUAAAAUAAACUAGUAUUUUUUUCCUGGGUAUACCCAGAACUACAAUUUGGUCUUUGUGGGGAGGGGGGGGGGGGGUCUUUUUCCAAAAAUAUAUGGACCUUUUCUUCUAUAGAAAGUAUUUAAGUGAUUUACCUUCAAAAGAGAACAAAAACAAAGAGAAGCUUAGCUUACUUCUCAGUAAUAAGCUGCUGAAUUGUAAAUGUCAUGGGUAAAUCUUUGCAACUAAAAAAAUCAGAAGUGAACCUUUUAGACUCCUUAGAAUAUUGGGAUGACCAUUUGACCUCCUUUAACUAUGCCCCUGUUUGCUUGUUUGUUUUGCAUUACUUUGGUUUAAGCAUUCACAUGUAAAAAUACAAUAUUUAAACCAGUUGGCUAAUGUGAUGUCAUUCAUUGCUAUUUUUGCAGAAUUUUCUUAGACUUGCACUACAUUUCAGGUUAUUAUUGACCAUUGGGUUUAAACAUGUCUCACUAAAAUUUUUAUUUCCUCCAAUCAAAGUGAAGUUCUCUUGUUAAUGAAUUAUUCAUGAAAAUGGCAAUAUGCUGUAAAAUUAUUUAACAGGUUCCACUUUUUAGCAGUUUCAUCAUUUAAUAAAUUUAAAAUAUAAUACAUAACCUAAUUUUAUAUGUUAAAUUAAUAACACCACACUUUAAACCACAGUUUUGGUUUUUCUCUGCACUUCCUGUUAUAGUCUCAUUAGUAAACAGGAAGUUUAUAUCUGAAACAAAAGCUUUAUGCAAAAUCUUAGUCUAUUGUUGCUAUUUUUUUUAUUUACUUUACAUUAUUUAUAUGUAGGCUUUUCAUGUGAAAUAAGCACCAAUAAUAAAAACUGUUAAGUUUUUUACUACAUUUAACAGGUUUUUGCAUUGCUAGUAUGAUCAUUUCUAGUUUUUCAAGUAUAGUGCUUUUAUGAUAGUGCAGUGAAAAAUAAUGCAUAAACAGUUGAGUGCUUUAAAUCCUUAAGUUUAAUUUGCAUUUGGUUCCCUUUAGGGAUCUAAGUAAAAUAAUUUAGUAGUUUUUCAGGAGUGUAGCCAGUGCUACAAAGUGGGUUUUUUUUUUUCCCAAAAAAUAUGUACAUUUUCUUCUCCAAAAAGAACGUUUUAUAGUGAUUUACCUUAGCCUUAAUGAAGCUUGUAAAAUGAAAGUAUUCAAAACUUAAGAGAGUAAAAACAUGAUCAACAUGAAAAGAAAAUCAUAUAAAUUAUGUUCAUGUGAAUACAUCAUUAAAUUUUGCAGAUCUUCAAAUGAAUUAUUUUGUAAAAGUCAAAUAAAAAUUGGUUUUGUGAAUGCAUUAUUGCAGUUUGACAACUUUGUUUUUAUACAUAAAUUUUAUUUUGUGAGGAUCUAAGGAAUUGAUUUUCUAGGUUUCUAUUGGAGUUAAAGACAUUGUUAUAAUACAUAAAUCUUAUUUUUGUAAGAAUUAGAUAGAAAUUUAGUGUGUUGAUGCCAAGUCAAAUGUUAAGAAUUUUGUAACCAAGAUUUUUUUAAAGGAUUUACUACAAAAGUAGUUUAUAAACAAACUUCCAUUUCAUUGAGUGAAAAUUUAUGAACUUUGUACAUGAAAUUUUCAAUGAAUUUAUAAUACCAACAAUUUUGUAAGGGCAAAUAACUACCUACUAAAAGUUUUUCAAUGAAAUUCUUCAAGAUUUUCAAGUACAGUCAAACAAUCAACUUUUACAAUAAUCUAUAUGUACACAUAGUUAAAAAUAUCGAUAGAAGCAAAGGUAUUUUUACGUUAAUUUUUAACUUAAAUCAAAAUAGUUCUAAGCAUUAUUUUUCUCUCUCUCUUAGUAUAGAAGAUAACAUAGAUACAGUUUAGAAUUUUUUUGUGUAAAAAAAAAAUUCAAUUUGAAGAAACUAUCCAUGUGUCAUGCUGUCUUAAUACCAAGAAUUGUGAUGUUGACAACUUAGCCAUGUUUCGUUGGAGUUCAUGGUGUUAUUUUAGACAAAAUAGGAAUAAGUGUUAUGUUCAAAUUGGGGCAUUUCAAUGUUUUUACUGUAGGUAUUUUUUAUUCAACUAAAAAAAACAUACCAACAAUAAUUUUUAAAGACACGAAAACGUGAGUAAUUUUGCAAACUGUAUAUUUUUUAAUGUUAAUGUAGUUUACCAAAGUAUUUUUACGUGGUUACCAAACUCGAUAUGUAAUGAGAAAUUGAAAUGUCAUCAGAUUAUAUGGGACAUUUCAAGGUUCGUCAGGGUUUCUAUUUCAACUACACAUGCACAACUGAUGUUGAAGUGUAUAUAGUAGGCAAACAAGGUAAGGUGAGUUAUUAAGAACGUUGUCAUUAUAAAUUAAAGUGUGAGCUAAAAUUUGCAUUUACAAUGUUUGAUGUAAAUAGACUGGUGUUUUUUCGACUUUCUUUAAAUUUUGGGUUAGGUUUAACAAUGUUAUUUCGCAGAUUUAUAACAUUCCUAACAGAUUUCACGAGGGAGAUAAUAUAUUUCAUGAGAAAAAAAAACAUUGUUAUAGAAGAAAUGAGAAACUUUAGUUCAUGUAAUUAGGGUUUCAAGUGAUCAUAUCUAUGGAAGAGUGUAUAAAUUCGUAAUUUUUUAGUUUAUGUAAUGAAGAAAUACUUAGUUCUAUAGUAACUAUCGAUAUAUUUGUAGUGUUUUGAGGAUCAUUAAUUCCAUUUCUUCCGACAAAUGCAAUACAGGAACCUCCCUCUCAUCUCAGAUAUCAGUUUGAAUAUUUUUAAACUUCUCCCUACGUUAUGACUCCACUUACAUGAAAGUGUUAAGUAAUUAUUCUUUCUUGUAGUCUGGUGAUGUUAUCAUACUAUGUAAUUUGAACCGCAAGAAGUGUGUCCAGUCAGAUGAGACCUAGGGGAGGGGGAUUAGUGAUAGUUUGAAACAUCAACAGAUCACCGCUAUAUAAGGAGAGCUUGAAGUAAUUUAAACGAUUUUGACAAUUAAAAAUUAAUAAACGUUUCUUGUAGGUAAAAAAAAAAGCGUAUUUAAUAAAAUUGGCCCCCCUUCUGCCCCCCCCCCCCACACACUAAAUCUUUGCCUUCAACAUACUCCGAAUACAAAAUCAUAGAAAAUUGUUUUGUUGACCAUUAAUAUAGCGUUCUUAGCAAAAUUAUCAUCAUCUUGUUUUUUCAUGUGUUAAUAAAUUCACGUAAGUUUAUUGUAUACAUAUUUUCCAUCAAAAUAGAAAUUGUAUGUAAUUUCAUCGUUUGUCAAAAUGUUUUUUCCCGUUUCGUGAUACACGUUUGCAAUUGGUACACGUUUCGUAAGUAAAUUUGGAAUACGUUAUACAGAUAAAUUCACUUACAUAAAAAUUCGUGUCUUGGGUACGACUCUAAUAAAUACGUUAUUACAAGUCUAGUCUGAACAGGAUCUUUUCUGGUUGGUAGUGUCAUUAAACCAAACAUACACAGGUUUGUAAUUAAGUAUUCGAUAUCGUAGUUGAUAUAAUUAUCCGGUUAAAAAAGUAUCUUUUUUUUGUAUGUUGUAUCAAUACAUUUUUCAAGAGUAAAAAAAAAGGUGCGUUGAUAUUCUGGGCCUGUUGGUUGGUGAGAACAGAAAGAAGAAUAGAAGAACGUAGUAAAUUAAUGAGUGAAUAAAGAUUUAGAUGAGCAUGUACUAAAACAUGAAGUUUCACUUGUGAAACAGGACGCACUGAAUUCAAAGGUCCAUUGGUUUUUUUCCCACAACCGCAAAAACCUUGCUCGGACUUUGGUUGUAAUAGUCGCAGUCAAAUCCCACUAUUUGAUUAGAGUAGCCCAAGAGUUGGCGGUGGGUGUUGUUGACUAGCUGCUUUCCUUCUAGUGCAGGGGUUCUCAAACUUUUUUGCUGUCCUCCACCUGACAAUAUUUCGGCUUGUAACGAUCCCCCCCCCUCCUUCACACACACAAAAUGAUAGCAGAUUACUGUACGUACUCUGAAAUAUCAGUCAUUGGAAUAUAUUUUAUGAUCUCGCAGGUCCUUGAGAGGUGAGACCCCAGUUUGAGAAACACUACUCCUGUGUAUCGGUUCAAAAUCAGAAACGGAUAGCUAGAUAGUUUUCACGAGGCUGCGCGAAAUUUCGAAACAAAAAUGCGCACGUGAAACAUUGUGUAGAAUGAGUUUUAGUCAUCAGAUAUUAUUUUGUUCUUGUUAUAGAGUUUUUGGAAUGGAGGUUAUUGUUAAAUCACAUUUGUGUAUCAAAAUUUCUUCAAGUUCUCAAUUUGUUUUCUUUUUUUUUAAAUAAGUAAUGGUACAAUAAGAAAGUAUCUACUUAAAGAUUUUAUAUAAUAUAAACAAACACUUUUUAGUGGCAUCUUUAUAUGAUACUUUUAUGUAACUACUGGAAUCUUGUGUGAAAUAUAUACAAAAAUAUUAGUAUUUAAUUGUAACUGAUAAUCCGUGAAAAGGUUGAGUAAAAUAUAUAGAACCUGGAAUACUGUCAUUUCAUAGUCAACAGAUCUUUAAUGAUGUCAUUUUAAUUAACAAUUCUGAUAAAUGAUUCCAGAAUUAUCUGUAUAAAAAGUUUUGAGAAAUAAAAGUUAAAAGUGUA